GGGCAUCUCACUGGAGAUCCUUGCAUACCUGAGGCCUUCUGAAGAGACCAAAGCCUACUUUCAAGAACAGAAGUUGCUGGCUCAGCUUCUAGUCUUACUCUGAUCAGUCAAAAUGAUUCAGGUUUGCUGUCCUGCAGGACUACAGUGCAGCUGCAGUUUCAGUACUGCUUCCUGACUACCUUGAUGCAAAAGUUUUAGGGUUCACCGGUUCUGCAUCUAAACCUGCUUCUGCCCGUAUCUAAUCAAGCCAGCAAGAGAGAACCAGGGAGGGAGAUCCCAUGACUUCCCCCUGUCUUAUCUUCUUCUCUGAGUGUGAAGUCCCCUGGGAUAUGCAGUUGUUCUUCCCUUCUGAGAACCAGGUAUCUGGAAAGUUGUCAGUCCAUGGAACUGGAGUAUUAAAUCUUUAAUUACCUGUGCUUUAUGUGAUGUUAUGAUGUGGAAUGUUGAUAUCAAAAUUAUAAAACCAUGACACAGUUUAGUAUGGAGGAUUAAUGAAGCAUAUAUACAACCACUUCCAUAUAAUUUUAUAUAUUCUCCUAAGUGGUAUACUGGCAUUAUAUCGUAGCAUAUAUAUAUAUAUAUAUAUAUUUUUCAAAGCUUUUACACUAUUGUAACAUAACUCACAUAUGCUUCCAUGUUUUCCUCCUGCUAUACUCAGUUCACUUACAUUUGCAAGAAGGUAUGUAUCACACUAAUACAUGUGUGAGCACUGGCAUGAUGGUUAGCGACAAAGCACAAUGGAAACAAAGGACCCCUCAUUGUGCC
Molecule: non-coding RNA, 765 nt
Organism: Coturnix japonica (Japanese quail)
Lineage: Eukaryota; Metazoa; Chordata; Aves; Galliformes; Phasianidae
Source: RefSeq, a predicted model, not a curated record